Molecule: long non-coding RNA, 351 nt
Filed under: Homo sapiens (human)
Lineage: Eukaryota; Metazoa; Chordata; Mammalia; Primates; Hominidae
Description: non-protein coding lnc-AFAP1L2-3:1
Source: RNAcentral
UCUAUAGAACAGGAUGUAGCAAGUGCAAAGGAAAUGCCUGGUCAGGGAACAUCAGAUUCAGCUAACUCCCAAGGAAAUUCAACACCACAUCCUCAGGUCCCUGGUUACCCUCCAGACUGUGUUGUAUUCCUGAAUAACUUACCAGAAGAGACUAAUGAGAGGAUGAUGUUUCAUGCUAUCAUAUCAGUUCCCGCUUUCAACAAAGUAUGUUUGGUACCUGGGAGACAUGACAUUGCUGUUGUUGAAUUUGAAAAUGAUGGACAGGCCAAAGCUGUCAGGGAUGCUUUGCAAGAAUUCAGGAUCACAGCAUCCCAUACCAUGGGGGUCACCUAUGUCAAUAAAUAAUACUGA